GACGAACGCUGGCGGCGUGCUUAACACAUGCAAGUCGAACGGAAAGGCCCUGCUUUUGUGGGGUGCUCGAGUGGCGAACGGGUGAGUAACACGUGAGUAACCUGCCCUUGACUUUGGGAUAACUUCAGGAAACUGGGGCUAAUACCGGAUAGGAGCUCCUGCUGCAUGGUGGGGGUUGGAAAGUUUCGGCGGUUGGGGAUGGACUCGCGGCUUAUCAGCUUGUUGGUGGGGUAGUGGCUUACCAAGGCUUUGACGGGUAGCCGGCCUGAGAGGGUGACCGGCCACAUUGGGACUGAGAUACGGCCCGGACUACUACGGGAGGCAGCAGUGGGGAAUAUUGCACAAUGGGCGGAAGCCUGAUGCAGCAACGCCGCGUGCGGGAUGACGGCCUUCGGGUUGGAGGCCGCUUUCGCCUGUGACGAAGCGUGAGUGACGGUAAUGGGUAAAGAAGCACCGGCUAACUACGUG
Molecule: ribosomal RNA, 468 nt
Filed under: uncultured bacterium
Lineage: Bacteria
Description: partial 16S ribosomal RNA
Rfam family: Bacterial small subunit ribosomal RNA
Source: RNAcentral